RNAcentral lists this ribosomal RNA (465 nucleotides) under uncultured bacterium. Its description in RNAcentral is "partial 16S ribosomal RNA". It matches the Rfam family "Bacterial small subunit ribosomal RNA", at positions 28 to 507 of the family's 1533-position model. The record is from RNAcentral.
GACGAACGCUGGCGGCGUGCUUAACACAUGCAAGUCGAACGGAAAGGCCCCUUUGGGGGUACUCGAGUGGCGAACGGGUGCGUAACACGUGAGUAACCUGCCCUUGACUUCGGGAUAACUUCAGGAAACUGGGGCUAAUACCGGAUAGGAAUCCUUGCUGCAUGGUGGGGGUUGGAAAGCUUCGGCGGUUUUGGAUGGACUCGCGGCUUAUCAGCUUGUUGUUGGGGUAGUGGCUUACCAAGGCUUUGACGGGUAGCCGGCCUGAGAGGGCGACCGGCCACAUUGGGACUGAGAUACGGCCCAGACGCCUACGGGAGGCAGCAGUGGGGAAUAUUGCACAAUGGGCGGAAGCCUGAUGCAGCAACGCCGCGUGCGGGAUGACGGCCUUCGGGUUGUAAACCGCUUUCAGCAGGGGCGAAGCUUGUGGUGACGGUACCUGCAGAAGAAGCACCGGCUAACUACGUG